CAGUAGCCGCGGUAAUACGUAGGGUGCAAGCGUUGUCCGGAAUUAUUGGGCGUAAAGAGCUCGUAGGCGGUUUGUCGCGUCUGCUGUGAAAUCCCGAGGCUCAACCUCGGGCUUGCAGUGGGUACGGGCAGACUAGAGUGCGGUAGGGGAGAUUGGAAUUCCUGGUGUAGCGGUGGAAUGCGCAGAUAUCAGGAGGAACACCGAUGGCGAAGGCAGAUCUCUGGGCCGUAACUGACGCUGAGGAGCGAAAGCGUGGGGAGCGAACAGGAUUAGAUACCCCUGUAGUCCCUGUCUCUUAUAA
This 301-nucleotide ribosomal RNA is filed under the name uncultured bacterium. RNAcentral's name for it is "partial 16S ribosomal RNA". It matches the Rfam family "Bacterial small subunit ribosomal RNA", at positions 509 to 809 of the family's 1533-position model. The record is from RNAcentral.